Molecule: long non-coding RNA, 1274 nt
Organism: Panthera uncia (snow leopard)
Lineage: Eukaryota; Metazoa; Chordata; Mammalia; Carnivora; Felidae
Exons: 2
Source: RefSeq, a predicted model, not a curated record
CGCGGGCCUCGGUUUCCACACCAGGAACCGUUUUAGCCAGCCUGGAGCUGCCUUUGGAGUCGCAGCUGCUUCCGCCUUCUUCCCUGAGGAGUGCACCUGGACAGAGAUGAAGUGAUUUGAUGUCAUACAGCAAGCAACGAGCAGGGCCAGGAUUCGAACCCGAGUCUGACUCCAGAGCCCAGGAAUCCACUUAUUCUGCCUUCUCCUCUGUGCAAACCACUUUCAAGGUUCUAUGAAUACAAACAGGUAUACAUUUUGAUCCCUGGCCUUCAGAAACCUUACAGACAUGCUGAGAAGAUGAAACGAGAACAUGAAAUGCUAAAUAAUGCCCAGCACCAUCUGCUAAGUGUUCUGCCCAUGGAACAGACAGGCAGGAACUUAUCGGGCAGAGGAGAAGAUCUGUGAGGCCAGGGUGGUCUAAAAGGCUCCAUGGAGGAGCAUGGCAUUUGACUGGCCUCGACAGACAGAGAGAACUUAGGUAAGCUGACAGGAGGAAAUCAACUAAGGUACAGAGGACUUCGAACACAUGGGUUCAAGUCCCAGCUCUGACAUUAUCUGUACAAUCCAAGGAAAGUCCUUAUCCUCUACUGCCCCAUUUCCUUUACUAUAAAGAGAAAGGCUCAAAAGGUGACAUGGAAUAGUGGGGAGAGCAGAAGUUUGGAACCAGAAGAAACCUCAGAGAGGUGGGGAGGGAGGGGGUAGUGAUUUAAGGGGGCCAGGAUGUUGACAGAAUUCUCUCUUGACAAGUAGUGGUUCUCUGAGUAAUCACCAUGAUAAUCCAUUGAGUGGUAAAAGUCAAACAAACAAAAAACCCUAGCUUCUAACUUUUAUUUUGCCUUAAGCAAGGCAAAUUGUCCCUCUGUUUCUUUAUCUAUAAAUGGAGGGAUGAUACCUCACAGGAGGGUAUCAGGAUGAGCUGAGCUGAUAGAGGGUGCCUGGAAGUACCUGAAUCAUUGUAGAUGCUUAGUCAACAUAGACAGCUAAGAGAGUAGGAAACCAGCAUGUCCAUACCCAAUGGGUAACCAAAGGCCUGGGAAGAAACAGAGGGAAGAAAAGAACAUCUUCCUAAGCCAGACAUAAUGGAAUGCAUGUGGAGAAUUGGUAUGUUGGUAGGUUUUUAGACCAAGGAAGAUACUAUUCAUCUGAGAUGGUUGAAUUCAGAUUGUUUCCAUGUCAAAAAACUGACAUAUCGCUUCUGUUUCUGUCUUCUUCCCUGACUCCUAUCACCCUCCAGAGCUUGUUUGAACUAAAAUAAACCUCUUCCAUUACCUUAA